Rhododendron vialii is the source of this 91-nucleotide small nucleolar RNA. RefSeq annotates it as small nucleolar RNA snoR8a. The transcript has a single exon. Lineage: Eukaryota; Viridiplantae; Streptophyta; Magnoliopsida; Ericales; Ericaceae. The record is from RefSeq and is a predicted model, not a curated record.
GGGUUUGCGAUGAUAAUAAAUCAAUUCCUCGUACUGAAUGUCAAUAUUGGCAUGAAAGACUCUUCUAUACACCCAUAGAAUCUGAGCAUUC